RNAcentral lists this long non-coding RNA (408 nucleotides) under Mytilus galloprovincialis (Mediterranean mussel). The record is from RNAcentral. Lineage: Eukaryota; Metazoa; Mollusca; Bivalvia; Mytilida; Mytilidae.
AUGCGGUUUUCUCAUUCUUGAAGGCCUUAUCUUUUUAUGCUUAUUGCUUACAUAUUUGUCACUUGAUAACUGGUGGAUAUUUGUCUCAUUAAUAAUCAACCAAAUCUCUAUUUUUAUCAGACCAUAGCAUAAUGGUAUGGUAGCAAAUAUAUCUUGAUAUUAGGGGAGGUAUGUGGACCAAAAUAACAGCAAUUAUUUAUACAUAUAUUAUAUGCAAAACAAAUAUUUGACAACGCAUAAAUUUUAUAUAAAAAAAUCAUAUUAAAACAAAUACAUGUAUAUAUAUAUAAUCAUAACAAUAUAAUAAAUACAAAAGAAACAAAAGAGAAACAAAAAUCCUUUCAGCUAAGAAAUAAAUUGUACAGAUUGCACAUAAGGAAUGUAUAGGAUUGAUAUAUAACAUAAAUG